RNAcentral lists this non-coding RNA (372 nucleotides) under Nicotiana sylvestris (wood tobacco). RNAcentral describes it as "Bacterial large subunit ribosomal RNA". It matches the Rfam family "Bacterial large subunit ribosomal RNA", at positions 914 to 1290 of the family's 2925-position model. Lineage: Eukaryota; Viridiplantae; Streptophyta; Magnoliopsida; Solanales; Solanaceae. The record is from Rfam by way of RNAcentral.
UUCUUUCCAAAAUCGUCCUAGCAAGAAGAAGAUCUAAAGCAAUUGUGUGUGGCUUUGCCUCUAAUUUUGGAGUAUAAUAUUAGUAUUGUAUUAUACUCAGAAUUAUUUUCGGUUAAGGUCCCUAAGCAAUCACUUCGUGGAAAAGGAAGUGAUCGAGCAAUGACAACCAGGAGUUGGGCUUGGAAGCAACCAUCCUUUGAAGAAAGCAUAAUAGCUCAUUGGUCUAGCUCCAUGACACCGAAAAUGUAUCAGGGCUCAAGUGAUUUACCGAAGCGACGAGACCUUAAAAGCUGCUUUUUCAAGUGUCAGUAGCGGAACAUUCUGUUAAUCGGGGAAGGUUUUUGGUGACAAGACGUGGAGAUAUCAUAAAUG